Molecule: ribosomal RNA, 589 nt
Filed under: Rhodococcus sp. Ri3Ps_5415
Lineage: Bacteria; Bacillati; Actinomycetota; Actinomycetes; Mycobacteriales; Nocardiaceae
Description: bacterial SSU rRNA
Rfam family: Bacterial small subunit ribosomal RNA
Source: RNAcentral
CCGCGUGAGGGAUGACGGCCUUCGGGUUGUAAACCUCUUUUAGCAGGGACAAAACGCAAGUGACGGUACCUGCACAAAAAGCACCGGCUAACUACGUGCCAGCUACCUCGGUAAUACGUAGGGUGCAAGCGUUGUCCGGAAUUACUGGGCGUAAAGAGCUCGUAGGCGGUUUGUCGCGUCGUCUGUGAAAACCAGCAGCUCAACUGCUGGCUUGCAGGGGAUACGGGCAGACUUGAGUAUUUCAGGGGAGACUGGAAUUCCUGGUGUAGCGGUGAAAUGCGCAGAUAUCAAGAGGAACACCGGUGGCGAAGGCGGGUCUCUGGGAAAUAACUGACGCUGAGGAGCGAAAGCGUGGGUAGCGAACAGGAUUAGAUACCCUGGUAUUCCACGCCGUAAACGGUGGGCGCUAGGUGUGGGUUUCCUUCCACGGGAUCCGUGCCGCAGCUAACGCAUUAAGCGCCCCGCCUGGGGAGUACGGCCGCAAGGCUAAAACUCAAAGGAAUUGACGGGGGCCCGCACAAGCGGCGGAGCAUGUGGAUUACUUCGAUGCAACGCGAAGAACCUUACCUGGGCCUGACAUACACCGGAA